GCACCCACACAAAUUUAAUUAUUGAGGGUGUACAAUUAUGUAUACAAUUUUUUUAAAAAAUUACCGUACACCACGUGGGUCCGCCUCUGCUUCCUCUUCAGCCCCAAUUCUCCCAUUUCACUGUGCUUCUUUCUCCUUCAUAUCUUCUCAUACUUGGGAUAUUAAUAUUAUGGAGUUACUUUUCUUUAGUUUGCAUGGUGAUUAAUUUCGGUGGAUUUUAUAUUUCUUAGGAUAUACAUUUUCUGUGAUUUUCUCCAUGUUUUCUUUGUGAAAUGUGUACAUGCAAAUUGUAAUGAUUCUUGUUGUAUGUUUUUUGUUUAUUCUUUAAUUCUUUUUCUUGUACAUUCAAAUGUAUGAUUGCAAAAUAGGAGUACAACUUUUGUCUAUAAGGUGUUUGAUGGUACAUACAUGGUUCUUUGUCACAAUAGUGAGCAUGGUACAUAUAUGGUUCUUUGAUGAUUUUGCUAAUGGCUUUUUUCAAAAAUGUCAAGGAUCGUGUCGGUGAAUCUCACUUUAAUAAAGUUCUAAAUAUUUAGCUGGAGCAGCUUAUUGAGGUUCUGUACUCUGAUAUAUGUUGCCUUAAUAUAUAAUUGAACUUAAGUAUGAAAAAUACAAGUGAUUCUCAUGCUAAAUAAUUUGUUCUAUGCAUGUAAACCUUCAAAACUUUUACAUGAGAAGUGGUCGCCCAAGUUUGUGAUCAGUGUUGCUCACGAAAAUCAUCAGGUUGAAUUGCCUGAUAGUUUUCCUCCAGGUAAUCAUGCAAGGAUUUUCUGUCUCCAAGCAAGAGCAAGAUAAAGUCGCAAAAUUCACAUUCCGUGGACUGCCUACUGAACUUAAGCAUGGUAGUGUAGUUAUAGCUGCUAUAACGAGCUGCACAAAUACAUCUAAUCCAAGUAUCAUGCUGGUCUUGUUCCAAAAAAGGCCUGUGAAUUAGGUUUGGAGGUUAAACCAUGGAUAAAAACAAGUCUAGCACUAGGUUCGGGAGCUGUUACAAAAUACCUCCAUAAGAGUGGUCUACAGAAGUACCUGAACCAGCAGGGCUUCAAUUUGGUUGGCUAUGGUUGCACGUGUAUUGGUAAUUCUAGAGACCUUGAUGAAUCAGUUGCUUCUGCCAUCACUGACAAUGACAUUGAAGUUGCAGCUGUGCUUUCUGUAAAUCGGAACUUUGAAGGCCGUGUUCACCCUCUAACAAGAGCUAAUUAUCUUGCUUCGCCGCCGCUGGUUGUCGCAUAUGCACUUGCAGGAACGGUUAAGGCAUAUACCACACGAGUUGGUUCUGAUCCUUUUCCAACAGAAAUCAUGGGCAAAGGUGGUGACCUCCUUCGUUUUGUUGGGCAGGAGUUUGGCACAACUACUGGACGUCCGCGUUGUUGUGGUUGACUAGACAUAGUUGCGCUGAGAUACUGUUGUCAAAUAAAUGGAUUUGCUUCUCUAAACCUAACAAAGCUAGAUGUGCUGUCAGAUCUAUGAGAAAUUCAGUUGGGUGUUGGGUGUUACUGACAAGCAUCCUCUAUAUUAAAUUCCUUUCCUUCUGAACUUCCUCUUCUUCAGCAAAUAAUGGUAAGUUCCUUUUUUCUUUCUUUCUUCUUCAACAUUCUUUUGCGUGAUGAUCUUGUGGUAUUUGGAAGUACAAACUAUUAGUUCCAACUUUCAUGUGAAUGUUUUGGGGAAACUGAGCCAUGUAUUCAGUUCGAAUCAUUGCAGUUUUUUGAUGAGAAAUUUUGGUGUUGAGUUGUCCGGAUGAAAAUGUUUGUUAAAUGAGCAAACUUCAAAGAGUGUUGGUGCUUUGCUAAUUUGGGAGCUGACAGAAAGAGCUAUGCGCACCAGUCCUUAGCAUUAGUGCGUUUACGCGUGCUUUUAACAUUCGUUCUCUUAUCCAUUUUUUCGUUAAGCAAUAAAUAACUUAUGAUCUGAUAAGCACUGGCAGCAGCAUCUUGAGUUAUUGGACCCUGUGUAAGAGUCAUUCCAAUUGAGUAGGGGAAGAGUCUCUUUCGAGCGAGAUCCAUUACCACGCCUAACUAAAUGAAAGAAAGUAAGACUCAAUGAUGAUGAUGGAUUGGUGGUUGCCUUUACUGGUAACCACAUUUUUUUGAUUUUGUGUUGUUCUUCUAUUUCUUUUGGGUAUUUGUUAACUUUUCUUGUUUUCGAUUGUUUCUUGUCGGAUUCUUAGGCAUUCCUUUCUCAACUUGCUCUUCGAUUGAAGGAGGCUUCCGUAGCUUUUAACAAAUGGAAAUAUUAAGAAUCGACACAUACAAGCCUGCUUCAGUUUCAAUUUCAAAAAAAACAAAUACAAGCAUGCCAUCAUAUUCUCUUCCUACUCCAGCAGCUAUUUUGAUUACUAUAUAAUAAGUGAGACUUUCGUCGUCUAGGGACAUUCUUGAAAUUUUCAUUUUUAAGUGAUGCUUCUACUGCUACUUUCAACCGUUAAAACACGUGUACUAUCCAUUAGUACGUGCCAAUCUUUUUUUUUUUUAUAUACCCAUAGAGGAGUUAAACCACCUCCCCCUUUUACUCUCCUUACAACAAUCACUAGGUACAGUACGUCAAAAGGCAAAUCUAGAUCCAUAAUCAAGGAAAAUAACAUAAAAGCAAAAUGAAACCAGAGAAGAAACAACAACUAAUAGCAAUUAAUAAAAGGAAAGAGCAGGAAGAAGAUGCAUCUACCAAGGAGUGAGACAGAGCCAGCAGAGAGUGAGAGAUGAACAAUAACAAACAAUAGUAUUGAUGGUCGGACACGCUGAGUUGCCACACUUCUCUUGAAGUCACAUUUUUCUUCUUGAACUAUCUAAUCCUUUCAUAUCAUAUGUCAAGAAUGGUGUAGUUACUACAGUGACCGACUUGAUGAUUUCUGGUGUUGGAGGUUCCGUUGAGGUGUUGAACAACUAUUAAUAUUUUUGCUGGUUAGCAGUUCUUAUUCAAAUCUAUUGGUCUUUUAUUUUGCUUGGAAUUCAGUUCUAUGGUAGUUGUUAUGCAAAUAUUAAAAGCAACUGGCUGUUACUUUAAAUUGUUGGAAAUGUUGAUCUACUUUCAAAUUUUCAGUUUGAGUUUUCUUUAUGACAUGCUUCCAUGGUGUUGAAUCUUGAUUUUUUUCCA
Molecule: RNA transcript, 3093 nt
Organism: Capsicum annuum
Lineage: Eukaryota; Viridiplantae; Streptophyta; Magnoliopsida; Solanales; Solanaceae
Exons: 6
Source: RefSeq, a predicted model, not a curated record